AACGAACGCUGGCGGCAGGCCUAACACAUGCAAGUCGAACGCCGUAGCAAUACGGAGUGGCAGACGGGUGAGUAACACGUGGGAACGUACCCUUCGGUUCGGGAUAACUCAGGGAAACUUGAGCUAAUACCGGAUACGUCCGAGAGGAGAAAGAUUUAUCGCCGAGGGAUCGGCCCGCGUCUGAUUAGCUUGUUGGUGAGGUAACGGCUCACCAAGGCGACGAUCAGUAGCUGGUCUGAGAGGAUGAUCAGCCACAUUGGGACUGAGACACGGCCCAAACUCCUACGGGAGGCAGCAGUGGGGAAUAUUGGACAAUGGGCGCAAGCCUGAUCCAGCCAUGCCGCGUGAGUGAUGAAGGCCCUAGGGUUGUAAAGCUCUUUUACCCGGGAAGAUAAUGACUGUACCGGGAGAAUAAGCCCCGGCUAACUUCGUGCCAGCCGCCGCCGU
RNAcentral lists this ribosomal RNA (447 nucleotides) under uncultured bacterium. Its description in RNAcentral is "bacterial SSU rRNA". It matches the Rfam family "Bacterial small subunit ribosomal RNA", at positions 29 to 521 of the family's 1533-position model. The record is from RNAcentral.